RNAcentral lists this long non-coding RNA (2361 nucleotides) under Zea mays. RNAcentral describes it as "long non-coding RNA (ZMAY_LNC001660)". Lineage: Eukaryota; Viridiplantae; Streptophyta; Magnoliopsida; Poales; Poaceae. The record is from RNAcentral.
GGCCCUCGACCACAGUAAAGGAUCAGGCGCAGGCAGGAAAAUAGAGAGAGAGCGAAGAGAGGAGAAGAUUUGGCCGCCGCGGUUGCAACCCUGCGCAUGCGCCGCUCGGGCUUCAGUCGCAUGGUCUGGGCGACCCGCUGGGGUACAUAGAUGACGUCUGUGGCACUUGAGCGAGGAGAAGACUCUCGGUGGAGGCCGAAUUGCUCACCGGUUCGUGGACAUCACCGUCGGGCCGCAUCUCACCAUGGGGGCAGGUUCUCCAUUGCUCCACCGUCGGUAAAAUACUCCUAGAAUUAUUCUGGGUUGAUUCCGCUUCGCGUUUUUGCUACUUCGAUUGGGGUUCGGUCGUCGGGGUGUUGGUUUCACGGGCAUCGGUGAGCUAUCGGGGCGGAGCUCUUCUUCCGCCGCCCUGUCGUGCAGUCGGGAGCAGGAAGAAGCAUGGAGUCCAUUGAUCUAGUGAUCAACGGUGGCUAUAGGAAGAUGAAGUGGAUGAACCAGGACCGUUAGAUGGUGAUCCAGCGCGCGGAACCCGUGAUCGAAUCUGGGCGGUCGAUGUUAAAUCGUGCGGUCGAUGCUGGAUACCGAUUCGGGUUGGAGACAAUCUAAUCUAGGCCGCGGGCUUUAGAUCCAAUGGCCUGAAUUCGCAGAUACCCGUUCGGCCAUGACAUUUGCUAAAGAGCCCCCGGGGAAUGGUCAAACUAACCCGCCAUCUAUGCUGGUUCAAACAUAAUUCCAACUGGGUCCUUUUAUUUGCAGAUUUAACCCUGUGCUUAUGAAAAAUAGUGGCCCCAGCCCAGAAAGUUUAUGAAAUAGUUAUAUUAAUGAUUUUUGUUAUAAAAAUAAUCCAGGAAACUUGCUUAAUUUAUAUUAAUUCCAUUUUAACUCCUUUUUAACCCGUUCCAGUUGCAUUAAUUUUGUUUCAAUAUUCUCUAUCAACUAGUAACACUGUUUAGCCAUGAAACAUGAAUUAAGAUUGUUCAUUUGGAUUAAUCUAUUCUAAGCACUAAAAUAAUUUCGGAAACUCAUAACUCAAUAACCGUAGCUCCGAAUUGAGUGGUUUUUCUUUCUACGAUCUCGUUACGCAGUGUAGAUUAUUAUUAUGCAGUUUGUGCUUAUGUUUGGUGUAAUGUUAAUUUUGCCUAUACCACUAUUUGUUUGUAUUGCUACGUUUAGCGCGAGGUCACGAGUCAUCUGAAAAGCAAGUUGGUACCUGGAAUCUCAAGUGCCAGGCAAGUUGUGCCCUUGAUCACUUCUUUUUACCCAGUCAUGUUCUAAUUAAUCUUAAUGACCUGCAUAGGUUAAUUUUGAUGGGACCCAAUAGGAUACCCUAGUUUGACUAUCUUUAUACCUUGUUCACCACUGAAUUUUUGGGUAGUACCUGCUAUUGCUUUAUGUGGUUUUGGGUAUAGAGAUACAAAUUACUAUUCAUGAUUAUAUUUUAUUAUCAGUUGUUAUUUACUGUUCAUGUUAAGAUCAUUAUGUUAAUUGGAACAUGGAGAACCACCCAGGAAAACAGUGCUACCACAAGGGUUUAAUGGGACGCCCUUGGCUGAUUAAUUAGGAAAGCUAGUGGAUGACUAUCUUACCCGAAAGGGGCAAGGGCAGUAGGGGAGUGGUCAGUGUAGGGAGGCCCUUGGGAUGAUUUUGCUGCGAUGGCGGUCAUGUGAGGGAUUCCUGCAUUGGAGCUUCCUAUAAACUGUAGCGGGUUUUCUGAAGCUAGUGGAACUUUGUAAAGGCCUCGUAGUGUUACCCUACCUCGCCUCCUCGGUAGAGGUGUAUGGGAUUGGCCGUCUCUUGGCAGAUGGGUAUUAUGACUUGUGGGUAAAGAUGCGCAACCUCUGCAGAGUGUAAAACUGGUAUACUAGUCGUGCUCAUGGUCAUGAGCAGCUCGGACACUCACAUGAUUAAAUUAUGGAACUUAAACUCAAUUUGUCAUAUGCAUUGCAUCGCAGGUGAGGUUGUUACUUUUGUUCUACUACUUAAUUGGGCUGGUAUUUACUUAUACUUAGUAAUUGCUAAUAAAAUUUUGACCAACUUUAAAAGCAAUGCUCAGCUCUAACCAUCAUCUUUGGUAAGCCUUACACUUCACGUGAGCUCCCACCUUUGGCGAGUUCAUGCACAUUAUUCCCCACAACUUGUUGAGCGAUGAACGUAUGUGAGCUCACUCUUGCUGUCUCACACCCCCCACAGGUCAAGAUCAGGUACCACAGGAUGAGGCGCAUGGAGGAUGCUGCGAUGUGUCCAUGAGAGUUCUAGGUCGUCGUCUCCCAGUCAACUUUGGGUUGUUGGACCGUUGUCUCCUUAUAAUGUAAUUAUUUAUUUAUUUUGUAUAGAACUCCUAUUAUAUAGUAAAGAUGUGAC